Molecule: ribosomal RNA, 483 nt
Filed under: uncultured bacterium
Lineage: Bacteria
Description: partial 16S ribosomal RNA
Rfam family: Bacterial small subunit ribosomal RNA
Source: RNAcentral
AUUGAACGCUGGCGGCAGGCCUAACACAUGCAAGUCGAGCGGAUGAAGGGAGCUUGCUCCUGGAUUCAGCGGCGGACGGGUGAGUAAUGCCUAGGAAUCUGCCUGGUAGUGGGGGAUAACGUCCGGAAACGGGCGCUAAUACCGCAUACGUCCUGAGGGAGAAAGUGGGGGAUCUUCGGACCUCACGCUAUCAGAUGAGCCUAGGUCGGAUUAGCUAGUUGGUGGGGUAAAGGCCUACCAAGGCGACGAUCCGUAACUGGUCUGAGAGGAUGAUCAGUCACACUGGAACUGAGACACGGUCCAGACGCCGACGGGAGGCAGCAGUGGGGAAUAUUGGACAAUGGGCGAAAGCCUGAUCCAGCCAUGCCGCGUGUGUGAAGAAGGUCUUCGGAUGGUAAAGCACUUUAAGUUGGGAGGAAGGGCAGUAAGUUAAUACCUUGCUGUUUUGACGUUACCAACAGAAUAAGCACCGGCUAACUUCGG